This 467-nucleotide ribosomal RNA is filed under the name uncultured eukaryote. RNAcentral's name for it is "SSU rRNA". It matches the Rfam family "Eukaryotic small subunit ribosomal RNA", at positions 396 to 883 of the family's 1831-position model. The record is from RNAcentral.
CUGAGAAACGGCUACCACAUCUACGGAAGGCAGCAGGCGCGUAAAUUACCCAAUCCUGAUUCAGGGAGGUAGUGACAAGAAAUAACAACUCGGGGGCCUCACGGCUUACGAGAUUGCAAUGAGAACAAUUUAAAUCUCUUAGCGAGGAACAAUUGGAGGGCAAGUCUGGUGCCAGCAGCCGCGGUAAUUCCAGCUCCAAUAGCGUAUAUUAAAGUUGUUGCAGUUAAAAAGCUCGUAGUUGAAUUUCUGAUUAUGGAUGUAGCGGUUUCCGUUACAUUUGUAGUCAUCCACAUGAGAACCUUUCUCGGCCUUCACUGGUCGGUUGGGGGAUCAUGUACUUUACUUUGAAAAAAUCAGAGUGUUUCAGGCAGGCGUUUGCAUGAAUACACAAGCAUGGAAUAAUGGAAUAGGACUAGGGUCCAUUUUUAUUGGUUAUUGGACCAUAGUAAUGAUUAAUAGGGACAGUU